AGAGUGAACGCUGGCGGCGUGCUUAACACAUGCAAGUCGAGCGGAAAGGCCCUUCGGGGUACUCGAGCGGCGAACGGGUGAGUAACACGUGAGUAACCUGCCCCUAGCUCUGGGAUAGCUCCGGGAAACCGGGAUUAAUACCAGAUACGACCACUUUAGACAUCUGUCGUGGUGGAAAGGAUUCCGGCUAGGGAUGGGCUUGCGGCCUAUCAGCUUGUUGGUGGGGUAACGGCCUACCAAGGCGACGACGGGUAGCCGGCCUGAGAGGGCGACCGGCCACACUGGGACUGAGACACGGCCCAGACUCCUACGGGAGGCAGCAGUGGGGAAUAUUGCGCAAUGGGCGAAAGCCUGACGCAGCGACGCCGCGUGGGGGAUGAAGGCCUUCGGGUUGUAAACCCUUUCAGCAGGGACGAAGCGAAAGUGACGGUACCUGCAGAAGAAGCGCCGGCUAACUACACGCCAGCAGCCGC
Molecule: ribosomal RNA, 473 nt
Filed under: uncultured bacterium
Lineage: Bacteria
Description: SSU rRNA
Rfam family: Bacterial small subunit ribosomal RNA
Source: RNAcentral